GACGAACGCUGGCGGCGUGCUUAACACAUGCAAGUCGAACGGAAAGGCCCUGCUUUUGUGGGGUGCUCGAGUGGCGAACGGGUGAGUAACACGUGAGUAACCUGCCCUUGACUUUGGGAUAACUUCAGGAAACUGGGGCUAAUACCGGAUAGGAGCUCCUGCUGCAUGGUGGGGGUUGGAAAGUUUCGGCGGUUGGGGAUGGACUCGCGGCUUAUCAGCUUGUUGGUGGGGUAGUGGCUUACCAAGGCUUUGACGGGUAGCCGGCCUGAGAGGGUGACCGGCCACAUUGGGACUGAGAUACGGCCCAGACUCCUACGGGGGGCAGCAGUGGGGAAUAUUGCCCAAUGGGCGGAAGCCUGAUGCAGCAACGCCGCGUGCGGGAUGACGGCCUUCGGGUUGUAAACCGCUUUCGCCUGUGACGAAGAGUGAGUGACGGUAAUGGGUAAAGAAGCACCGGCUAACUACGUG
RNAcentral lists this ribosomal RNA (468 nucleotides) under uncultured bacterium. RNAcentral's name for it is "partial 16S ribosomal RNA". It matches the Rfam family "Bacterial small subunit ribosomal RNA", at positions 28 to 507 of the family's 1533-position model. The record is from RNAcentral.